AUUAGAGCAGUACGCUGCACCUAUACAGAGAAACUCGAGUGUCAGUCUUCUCAUGGGCAAGUGACAGAAGAACCAUAUUCCUCUGAAGAUGAUGAUGAUGAUGAAGAUGAUGAUGAUGAUGAUGAUGAAGCCAUGCGUUCAUGUUCAGCAUGUCUACGCAAACGAAGAUACCCUGAAGAUGAAGAUGAAGAUGAAGGAGCUAAACGAAGUUCACCUCUACCCGAAGAUGAAGAUAAAAUAAUUCCCAGGUCUCACUCUAAGGAAAAUCUAUUAAUUGAUAUGCAGCAGCCUCAGUGAAUAAUGAUGUUUAAUGUAGUUCAGUCUCUCAUGAUCCUGAUCAAUAUAUUGAUAGUGUGAUCAUGAAUAUAUUGAUAGUGUGAUCAGGUAUAGUUGAGAUUGACUACAGUAAAGUGAGUGAAUUUCUAACGGACAGUAGAUCAGAUCUCAUAAACACACGUGUGGAUCUGAACUGAGAUCAGAAUAUCACAGAAAUCCUCUGAACCUCUCGAUCUCUUAUUAUUCACUCUUCAACAUCCACUGCUGCUUCUGUUGCUCAUUUGUUGCUUUGAAUGAAAAGCUUCUGCUUAGUUAAAGUGUGUGAAAAUAUUCCAGCAGUAGAGAAUUACACUUUAUUUUGAUGCUCAUUCUGAUAACUGAGUAACUGUACAACUACAUGUAAAGCAGUCAUUAGAGUGUCAGUAGACUGUUAGAGUUUGGGUUUGUUGACGUGUGUUGUAAUAAAGUUACUUACAGUCAGCAGAAUGUCUGUUAGGAGCAUCAAAAUAAAGUGUUACUGACAAUUUUAAAGUUGUUUCUGAGGUGAAUCAAAUUAUGAUGAAAGAUAAAUUCAGUGUGUCAUGAAACACUUUACUGUAAGAGGCUGACAUUAUGGUAGUGAAUCUGAACUAUAUCACACUGAUCAGAUCACAGUAUGAAUAUAUUUAUGAGGAUUAUGUUAGUUGGUGAAGUGUGUGUACAGGAUAUUUUAUAUAUCUGAACUGAACUUCAUCAGCGCCCUUAUCUUGUGGUCUUUUUUUCACUGUACAUGCCUCCGUUAGGUCAGAUCAUGAGUGAAUAUGGUGUGUCUAUGAUGGAGUUUGUGUUUUGCUCUUUACAUUCAUAUGCAGAUAUUACACAUAACCCUUUCUUUUGCUCAUGUUUAUUAAUUUAAGCAUGCACUUGAAUAUUUUUAUUUCUGAGAAUUGUUUCCCUUUUCUGUUGUAUAAACACAAUAUCACUCUCAUAGCUCUCGUAACUCUAUGGUUUCUACGAAAGUGAAAAUGGAAAUUGAGGGUCACGCGGAUAUGAUGUCACUGACAGGAGACGCAACGACACGGCCGUUACACUGGGUAACAUUUCUCUGGAUUUAAAGGAACACUCCACUUUUUUUGAAAAUAGGCUCAUUUUCCAACAGUUAAACAGUCGAGUUUUACCGUUUUCGAAUCCAUUCAGCCGAUCUCCGGGUCUGGCGGUGCCACUUUUAGCAUAGCUUAGCAUAGUUCAUUGAAUCUGAUUAGACCGUUAGCAUCUCGCUCAAAAAUGACCAAAGAGUUUUGCAGGGCUCUCAAGUCUCACGCAUUGGGCGUGAGACACACGCAUUUCAACACGCUCACACGCCACACCUUGUAUUUCUCACGCAGAGAAAUCUCCAGGAUAACGCACAAGUUGCGCCGCUAUUAGAGGAAUCAAGCGAGUUCCCCAUAGAGUUCAGAAGGCCCUGCCACGCACCAGUUAAUCUAAUAAAAAAUAUAGCUACCGGACAGCCAAUCAGAAAAUAGAAUUGCUGUAUCCGGGUAAGAUUUAGAUAUUCCCGCCACAACAAUGUUUACGUUCUGAUUCCAACGACACAUUCUGUGAUUCACGGGCUCGCUCACCGAUUCAGAUGCUCGCUGAAGUAGUUAGAAGAGGACAUCUGUCAGUCACAUUGAUUCACAUCUGGCUACAGACUGAUCGUGAUUGAUAUGGGACCAUACACUAUGAGUACAGUAAGUCAUCUUUGUGUCCAGCCAGCUGGAAAAAUGAAUAUUCUUGUAUUUAAAGCUGCAGUCCGCAACUUUUUUUGUGUUAAAAAUUUACAAAAAUUAUAUAAUGAGAAUAUACAACAUGAAUCCAUUUUCCAAACCGUGUUUUUGUCUUAU
This is a long non-coding RNA of Megalobrama amblycephala (Wuchang bream), 2138 nucleotides long. RefSeq lists it as uncharacterized. The transcript has 4 exons. The record is from RefSeq and is a predicted model, not a curated record. NCBI's taxonomy places the organism in Eukaryota, Metazoa, Chordata, Actinopteri, Cypriniformes, Xenocyprididae.